Non-coding RNA from Paralichthys olivaceus (Japanese flounder), 403 nucleotides. NCBI's taxonomy places the organism in Eukaryota, Metazoa, Chordata, Actinopteri, Pleuronectiformes, Paralichthyidae. The record is from RefSeq and is a predicted model, not a curated record.
UCUCUCCUGACGAACAGUCAAUGUCCAUCAGGUCCUUCAGCGACUCCUCGACCAUCAACCAUUUGUGAAAGGAGAGAAAUGCGAAGUCCACGUGUCAGAGUGGCCAUCCCCAUCCAACCGCAGGGAGGUUCAACGGUUCUUGGGGUGCACCGGAGUCUGAGCAGAGCCUCACCAGCGGCACCUCAUCUAUCAUCAAGCAUCUACAUAUACUCCUCCUGACCACCUCCACGUCGCCAGACCGUAGUCUCUGCUACCACUCCUCCUGUUCUGGCUCCAGUCCCUGCUCCUUCCCUUAGCUACUAACCUGCUAUCCUAUAACCCUGCCUCACACCCCUUACCUGGGACAAGCUUCUGGACCUGCCACCUUUACCCCCCAUCACUCCAGCCUAAAGUUCAGCCUGGC